UGCAGUCGAGCGGACAGAAGGGAGCUUGCUCCCGGAUGUUAGCGGCGGACGGGUGAGUAACACGUGGGUAACCUGCCUGUAAGACUGGGAUAACUCCGGGAAACCGGAGCUAAUACCGGAUAGUUCCUUGAACCGCAUGGUUCAAGGAUGAAAGACGGUUUCGGCUGUCACUUACAGAUGGACCCGCGGCGCAUUAGCUAGUUGGUGAGGUAACGGCUCACCAAGGCGACGAUGCGUAGCCGACCUGAGAGGGUGAUCGGCCACACUGGGACUGAGACACGGCCCAGACUCCUACGGGAGGCAGCAGUAGGGAAUCUUCCGCAAUGGACGAAAGUCUGACGGAGCAACGCCGCGUGAGUGAUGAAGGUUUUCGGAUCGUAAAGCUCUGUUGUUAGGGAAGAACAAGUGCAAGAGUAACUGCUUGCACCUUGACGGUACCUAACCAGAAAGCCACGGCUAACUACGUGCCAGCAGCCGCGGUAAUACGUAGGUGGCAAGCGUUGUCCGGAAUUAUUGGGCGUAAAGGGCUCGCAGGCGGUUUCUUAAGUCUGAUGUGAAAGCCCCCGGCUCAACCGGGGAGGGUCAUUGGAAACUGGGAAACUUGAGUGCAGAAGAGGAGAGUGGAAUUCCACGUGUAGCGGUGAAAUGCGUAGAGAUGUGGAGGAACACCAGUGGCGAAGGCGACUCUCUGGUCUGUAACUGACGCUGAGGAGCGA
Molecule: ribosomal RNA, 716 nt
Filed under: Bacillus aerophilus
Lineage: Bacteria; Bacillati; Bacillota; Bacilli; Caryophanales; Bacillaceae
Description: bacterial SSU rRNA
Rfam family: Bacterial small subunit ribosomal RNA
Source: RNAcentral